RNAcentral lists this ribosomal RNA (2935 nucleotides) under Serratia marcescens. RNAcentral's name for it is "23S ribosomal RNA". It matches the Rfam family "Bacterial large subunit ribosomal RNA". The record is from RNAcentral. Lineage: Bacteria; Pseudomonadati; Pseudomonadota; Gammaproteobacteria; Enterobacterales; Yersiniaceae.
GGGUUGUGAGGUUAAGUGACUAAGCGUACACGGUGGAUGCCUAGGCAGUCAGAGGCGAUGAAGGGCGUGCUAAUCUGCGAAAAGCGUCGGUAAGGUGAUAUGAACCGUUAUAACCGGCGAUACCCGAAUGGGGAAACCCAGUGUGUUUCGACACACUAUCAUGUCAUGAAUACAUAGUGGCAUGAGGCGAACCGGGGGAACUGAAACAUCUAAGUACCCCGAGGAAAAGAAAUCAACCGAGAUUCCCCCAGUAGCGGCGAGCGAACGGGGAGGAGCCCAGAACCUGAAUCGGCUUGUGUGUUAGUGGAAGCGUCUGGAAAGUCGCGCAGCAAAGGGUGAUAGCCCCGUACACUAAAAUGCACAAGUCGUGAGUUCGAUGAGUAGGGCGGGACACGUGACAUCCUGUCUGAAUAUGGGGGGACCAUCCUCCAAGGCUAAAUACUCCUGACUGACCGAUAGUGAACCAGUACCGUGAGGGAAAGGCGAAAAGAACCCCGGCGAGGGGAGUGAAAUAGAACCUGAAACCGUGUACGUACAAGCAGUGGGAGCACCUUCGUGGUGUGACUGCGUACCUUUUGUAUAAUGGGUCAGCGACUUAUAUUUUGUAGCAAGGUUAACCGUAUAGGGGAGCCGUAGGGAAACCGAGUCUUAACUGGGCGAAUAGUUGCAAGGUAUAGACCCGAAACCCGGUGAUCUAGCCAUGGGCAGGUUGAAGGUUGGGUAACACUAACUGGAGGACCGAACCGACUAAUGUUGAAAAAUUAGCGGAUGACUUGUGGCUGGGGGUGAAAGGCCAAUCAAACCGGGAGAUAGCUGGUUCUCCCCGAAAGCUAUUUAGGUAGCGCCUCGUGAACUCAUCUUCGGGGGUAGAGCACUGUUUCGGCUAGGGGGCCAUCCCGGCUUACCAAACCGAUGCAAACUCCGAAUACCGAAGAAUGUUAUCACGGGAGACACACGGCGGGUGCUAACGUCCGUCGUGAAGAGGGAAACAACCCAGACCGCCAGCUAAGGUCCCAAAGUCAUGGUUAAGUGGGAAACGAUGUGGGAAGGCAUAGACAGCCAGGAUGUUGGCUUAGAAGCAGCCAUCAUUUAAAGAAAGCGUAAUAGCUCACUGGUCGAGUCGGCCUGCGCGGAAGAUGUAACGGGGCUAAACCAUGCACCGAAGCUGCGGCAGCGACGCUUAGGCGUUGUUGGGUAGGGGAGCGUUCUGUAAGCCGUUGAAGGUGGCCUGUGAGGGUUGCUGGAGGUAUCAGAAGUGCGAAUGCUGACAUAAGUAACGAUAAAGCGGGUGAAAAGCCCGCUCGCCGGAAGACCAAGGGUUCCUGUCCAACGUUAAUCGGGGCAGGGUGAGUCGACCCCUAAGGCGAGGCUGAAAAGCGUAGUCGAUGGGAAACAGGUUAAUAUUCCUGUACUUGGUGUUACUGCGAAGGGGGGACGGAGAAGGCUAGGCUAGCCGGGCGACGGUUGUCCCGGUUUAAGCGUGUAGGGGGUGUGACCUGGUAAAUCCGGUUGCAUAUCAACCCUGAGGCGUGAUGACGAUGCACUACGGUGCAGAAGUAGUUGAUGCCCUGCUUCCAGGAAAAUCCUCUAAGCAUCAGGUAACAUUAAAUCGUACCCCAAACCGACACAGGUGGUCAGGUAGAGAAUACCAAGGCGCUUGAGAGAACUCGGGUGAAGGAACUAGGCAAAAUGGUGCCGUAACUUCGGGAGAAGGCACGCUGGCAUGUAGGUGAAGUCCCUUGCGGAUGGAGCUGAAGCCAGUCGAAGAUACCAGCUGGCUGCAACUGUUUAAUAAAAACACAGCACUGUGCAAACACGAAAGUGGACGUAUACGGUGUGACGCCUGCCCGGUGCUGGAAGGUUAAUUGAUGGGGUCAGCCGCAAGGCGAAGCUCUUGAUCGAAGCCCCAGUAAACGGCGGCCGUAACUAUAACGGUCCUAAGGUAGCGAAAUUCCUUGUCGGGUAAGUUCCGACCUGCACGAAUGGCGUAAUGAUGGCCAGGCUGUCUCCACCCGAGACUCAGUGAAAUUGAACUCGCUGUGAAGAUGCAGUGUACCCGCGGCAAGACGGAAAGACCCCGUGAACCUUUACUAUAGCUUGACACUGAACAUUGAGCCUUGAUGUGUAGGAUAGGUGGGAGGCUUUGAAGCGUGGACGCCAGUCUGCGUGGAGCCAUCCUUGAAAUACCACCCUUUAAUGUUUGAUGUUCUAACUCGGCCCCGUAAUCCGGGGUGAGGACAGUGUCUGGUGGGUAGUUUGACUGGGGCGGUCUCCUCCCAAAGAGUAACGGAGGAGCACGAAGGUUAGCUAAUCACGGUCGGACAUCGUGAGGUUAGUGCAAAGGCAUAAGCUAGCUUGACUGCGAGAGUGACGGCUCGAGCAGGUACGAAAGUAGGUCUUAGUGAUCCGGUGGUUCUGAAUGGAAGGGCCAUCGCUCAACGGAUAAAAGGUACUCCGGGGAUAACAGGCUGAUACCGCCCAAGAGUUCAUAUCGACGGCGGUGUUUGGCACCUCGAUGUCGGCUCAUCACAUCCUGGGGCUGAAGUAGGUCCCAAGGGUAUGGCUGUUCGCCAUUUAAAGUGGUACGCGAGCUGGGUUUAGAACGUCGUGAGACAGUUCGGUCCCUAUCUGCCGUGGGCGUUGGAAGAUUGAGAGGGGUUGCUCCUAGUACGAGAGGACCGGAGUGAACGCACCACUGGUGUUCGGGUUGUCAUGCCAAUGGCAUUGCCCGGUAGCUAAGUGCGGAAAAGAUAAGCGCUGAAAGCAUCUAAGCGCGAAACUUGCCUCAAGAUGAGUCUUCCCUGGGCCUUUAAGGCCCCUGAAGGAACGUUUAAGACUAAGACGUUGAUAGGCUGGGUGUGUAAGUGCAGCGAUGCAUUGAGCUAACCAGUACUAAUGAUCCGUGAGGCUUAACCUUACAACACCGAAGGUGUUU